UUCAGCUUCUCUCUGAAAAACAGUAAAACGUCAUUUAUUAGAGAAGACUCUCCUUCAGGCAGGAUGGGGGCGACCGCCUGGAGAUGUCAGCAACACAACCUUGUUUUCCAGCCUAGAGACAGAGCACUUCAAUCAACAUCUAGGCAGUCUCUGCGAAGAUGCAGCCUCUCGAGUCCCACGUGCCCAGAAGCAGCACCCUGAGAAAGGCAAAGACGACUCAUCUGGUGGAGGGGCGAGGACCCUGGGUUAGACACACACUCUCUGGCAAUAGGCCAACACCAACCUUUCACUUGCUUCCUAAGCAAGAGCAGAACAGGGUCUCUUCAAAAGUUCACAAUGAAGACUAACUCUGUAGGACUAACAAUGGUGGUGGAAUAUUAAUAUUAUGGAAAACAAUAAAAACCCACCCUGGAACCUGUGCAAGGA
Peromyscus maniculatus bairdii (prairie deer mouse) is the source of this 426-nucleotide non-coding RNA. The record is from RefSeq and is a predicted model, not a curated record. Lineage: Eukaryota; Metazoa; Chordata; Mammalia; Rodentia; Cricetidae.